RNA transcript from Triticum aestivum (bread wheat), 3680 nucleotides. RefSeq lists it as uncharacterized. Lineage: Eukaryota; Viridiplantae; Streptophyta; Magnoliopsida; Poales; Poaceae. The transcript has 3 exons. The record is from RefSeq and is a predicted model, not a curated record.
CACGCCUCCCUCCCCCGCGCCGCCGGACGCCGCCUCCCUUCCCCACAUCUCCGGUCGCCGUCUCCUUUCCCUGCCCCGCCGGAUGCUGCCUCCUUCCCAGAUCCCGCCGCCGCCCGCAACACAACCGGCACCGUGGCUGUCGCCCCGCACCAGAUUCAUGAGCUGCUAUCGCUCCACCGCCGUGUACAUGCAGUUCAACGCUGCAACCACAGGCCGUUCAAUCUCUCCGUCGUGGACACGCCCCUCCACCUCCUGGUUGCUACUCAUCCCGGUGUGGCCAGGCCGUUGGGUUCGCCGCCGAUGUGAUCAGCAGUCCAACCCGGCCGCCCCAUGCCAUUCACCGCCGCAGCUCCCAGGCCGACUGUGUCGAGCCACCUUCCGCCCGCACCUUGGGCUCCCGUAUGCGUCCCCUACCCCAGCAGGUGCACACGUCCCUGCCCACCGUUCCCCUGUGUUGUUCUUUUGACCUUGAACUAUAUAGGAUACAACUUUUAUUUGAUUUUCAGUUCACCUUUUGCGUUCUUUUCAGUUCAUAAACUUUAAUGUAUUGAUGAAAUCCUGAAAUAUCAUAUGUGCACACUACGUAUUUGUUCUUAUGCCUACGAACAAUUCUGCACUUGUGCUGUUAUGCAUCAGUUUUGGUCACCAAAAAAAUGGAGGUUUAGAUAUGACAAAAUGGAUUAGAGCACCAUGCCCUCACCCAGAAGUUUGAAAAAAAAUCAUUGCUUUCAAUUCUAGUAAAAUGUUUUUGUUUAAAACUGCACUGCUGAUUCUUUCUGUAAUGGGCUUUAUAUAUUAUCUUUCCUAUGUCUUACUGUAGGAAAAUAUGGUGGCCUUCAGCAAGUAAUCUUUCUCUAACGGGCAUCCUAUGCUGCGUGCUCACGGUGACCAUAAGCAUUGUUUCUAGAUGUACUAUCUUGUUGUGCCAAGGCAAUCAAAAACACAAGUGUUGCUACUCUAAUUCACCCCCGACACCUCGACAGUCGCCAGGCGUGACACGCCUCCUCCCAAGGACGUGCUCGCCUCCCCGCGCCUCCUGCCGGCAACGUGACCACUUCUCGCGGCAAUGCGCCAUGUGUGGCCCAUGUUCCGGCGUCGCCCUCCGCGGCCUCAGCACACAGGCCGUUCAACUCCGCCACCUGACGCCGUUCACCUCCGCCACCUGACGCCGUUCACCACCACCAGUCCCCGUCCAAGGCUGCCCCAAAGACCCCGUGCGUUAACACCCCUGUCAACCCCGAAUUUUGUUUCUCUCAGCUUCAAAAAGAGGGGGCUUCCACACCAAAUGGAUCUCUGCUUCCGGCCGCGGUGGGAACACCAGGUAUGCUACUCGUGUUUUUCCAUGCUGGACACCAAGCAGCGCACAUGAGAAAGAUUGCUCUGCUUUUGUAGUUACUGUGCUAGUUUGUUGGGCAAAAUGAAAAUUACAGUUGAAGGAAGAUUGAGGCUUAAAGUUCAGAGACGUUUUGAAUAAAAGUUUUGAUAGUGUAGUAGCUGAAAAACAUAGGGCAGGUCUUGUAGUUUUGAACUUUUGGAUGUGUAUGUCAAUUUUGAGUCAAGUAGCUUUUCAGAUCAAAAAUGAUGUACCGUUAGUCGCUAUAUUGCUCAGUUCAUGUGCAACCAUUGGAGGAGUUCAAAAAAUCAGAACUCGUCCAUUCCCAUAAAAUUCUGUAAGUUUCAUGUGUGUGCUGCUACAAAUCUGAAAUAUUUUUCCAAUCAUACUAGUACUGAUGCAAUCACCUGAAAAAGUUGAAGAAAAAUUAUGUAAGUUGUAGACUAUAAGUUGACAUGCACACACGGCCAUUCUGUAAGUUGUAGACUAUAAGUUGACAUACACAUACAAGAGCAAUUGGUCUGCCUGCUGCAUACGGUGUUGGUCCACGUACACACUCCUCGAAUCUCUCUUCUUUGGCUCCCAGCGGUGAAGAUCUCCAUGCCUCCCGUUUGAAUUUUCAGUUAAUUUUUAAUUGAACUUGUACUGCUAUUGAUUCAGACCUGAGGGAAGAAGGCAGAACCUCUCUCUUGUUGGCAUUAAUUUUUCUCUCUCAUCUCCAUCUUCCUUUGUCAAUCGAAAAAAUUAGCGGCUAGCGCAUAAAUUGUGUAUUUGUUAGAUUGCUCUGCGUGCAAAGUGUAGAGAUUCUAAAAAUUAAAAAAGAAAACGUACAACGAUACAGAGAUUCUGUUGUUCUCUGGUUAGUAGUUCACCUUUGCUAAGUAUAGCAAAUUCUCUGGUUAUUUCUAGCAUAGCAAAAAAUGUCAUUGUGUUAUGCAUAUAAAAGCUUUAUAAAAAUGCGCAAACUGUUGUGUUUAUUGGUAACUCACGGCUGUGUGUAGCUCUUGUAUGUCUUCGGAAUACUUAUGCAUACUGUUGUUUGUACAUAUCUUCAGUACAAGUUUGGAAGGCUAGGAAGUUCUACCACCGACAUACACCAAGUUCAGAGACGUUGCACGGAGUGAGCCGCCGCCGCCGUAAAAAAUGGUUUAUUAGCAUAUUGUUUUUUGGUACUUAUGCAUACGGUUGUAGAAGUGAAAUUUGUUGGGUGCAUGUGCAGAAAAAUCGUCAGUCCAGUUUUCAAAAAUUCUGGAAGUUUGUUUGAUUCUAUAAAAUUCUGGAAGCUUCUUGUGUGUGCUGCUACAAAUCUGAACUAUUUGUCUAGACAUUCUAGUACUGAUACAAUCGCCUAAAAUAAGUUCAAGAAAAAAUCAGUAAGUUUGGUGCGUGUGCUGCUACAAAUCUAAAGUUCUUCUCGAGUCAUUCUAGUACUGACGUCUCUUUUAGUCUGUAGCGGAGGGGAUAAUUUUAUGCUCAUUCUUUCAUAGUAUGAAGCUCAUUUAUAGUUUCUUUUCUCAUUCUUUUAGUUAAGAAAAUGUUUAUUGACCUUGAAGCAUAAACCUCUCGGCAAUGUAACAUUCUGCUGAUAUUUUAAUAAUCGGUAAGCUGUUGUAGUGGGACAAGGUCAUCAUCUUGAGGAGGUCAGUGAGGUCAGUGAUACCAUGCAUGCUGAAACAAUGGCCUUGCACCAGGCUGUAUCUAUAACAUGGGCUCUGGGAUGCAGGCUGGUGCUGCUCUGGGUAGUAAUACAUGUACUGAGUGAUACACAAGUUUGAUUUUCACGGAAAUUGAACUCCAGGAUAUGAAGUUUGAUGGAUGUGGAGGUUCUUUUGACCUUGAACCCUAUAGGAGUUCAACUUUUGAUUAAGUUUUAGUUCAUCUUUAGCUUAGUUCAUCAACUUUAAUUUUCAGAAAUAUCGAGGAUGUACUGUAUUACUUUUAAAGGGGAGUUCAUGUUUGGCUGGAUUUGGCAGUUCAUUUCCUAUUUCUUUAUAGGUUCAUACACCAGUAAGGUUUGGUGGUACAAUUUUUAAAACUGUAGCUGUUCGGCAAAAAGGUUCACUACCCCAAUUAGGGGAUUUUCAAUCAGUAAUGAGGCUGUUGUGGAGAAGCAAAAUAUUCAGUGUUCAUGAUGUCCAAAUUCCAGUGAUAUGCCAUUAUAUAUUAUUGGCAUUGAUCAAGUCAUUUGCUGCAUUUUUUCCAUGUCUCAGUGUAUAAGAGCUGCUAGUCAGUAGACUAUGAGUUGUAGUCUGUAAUGGCUGGCUGUUCUACACAGUGCACACACAUGACCUAGGUGCAACCUAUUUAAUUGAUUGAUGUUUUCAUUUUUUUGAACAGGAAGAUGGGU